RNAcentral lists this ribosomal RNA (446 nucleotides) under uncultured bacterium. RNAcentral describes it as "bacterial SSU rRNA". It matches the Rfam family "Bacterial small subunit ribosomal RNA", at positions 330 to 792 of the family's 1533-position model. The record is from RNAcentral.
UCCAGACUCCUACGGGAGGCAGCAGUGGGGAAUAUUGGGCAAUGGACGCAAGUCUGACCCAGCAACGCCGCGUGAAGGAAGAAGGCUUUCGGGUUGUAAACUUCUUUUAAGGGGGAAGAGCAGAAGACGGUACCCCUUGAAUAAGCCACGGCUAACUCCGUGCCAGCAGCCGCGGUAAUACGGAGGAUGCGAGCGUUAUCCGGAUUUAUUGGGUUUAAAGGGUGCGCAGGCGGAGGUGCAAGUCAGUGGUCAAAUUGCGGGGCUCAACCCCGUACUGCCGUUGAAACUGCAUCCCUUGAGUGCGCGAGAAGUAUGCGGAAUGCGUGGUGUAGCGGUGAAAUGCAUAGAUAUCACGCAGAACUCCGAUUGCGAAGGCAGCAUACCGGCGCGCAACUGACGCUCAUGCGCGAAAGCGUGGGUAUCGAACAGGAUUAGAUACCCGCGUA